ACGGCUCAGUAACACGUGGAUAACCUGCCCUUGGGUCCGGCAUAACCCCGGGAAACUGGGGAUAAUACCGGAUAACGCAUAUAUGCUGGAAUGCUUUAUGCGUCAAAUGGAUUCGUCUGCCCAAGGAUGGGUCUGCGGCCUAUCAGGUAGUAGUGGGUGUAAUGUACCUACUAGCCGACGACGGGUACGGGUUGUGAGAGCAAGAGCCCGGAGAUGGAUUCUGAGACAUGAAUCCAGGCCCUACGGGGCGCAGCAGGCGCGAAAACUUUACAAUGCGGGAAACCGUGAUAAGGGGACACCGAGUGCCAGCAUCAUAUGCUGGCUGUCCAGGUGUGUAAACUACACCUGUUAGCAAGGGCCGGGCAAGACCGGUGCCAGCCGCCGCGGUAACACCGGCGGCCCGAGUGGUGAUCGUGAUUAUUGGGUCUAAAGGGUCCGUAGCCGGUUUGGUCAGUCCUCCGGGAAAUCUGACGGCUCAACCGUUAGGCUUUCGGGGGAUACUGCCAGGCUUGGAACCGGGAGGGGUAAGAGGUACUACAGGGGUAGGAGUGAAAUCUUGUAAUCCCUGUGGGACCACCUGUGGCGAAGGCGUCUUACCAGAACGGGUUCGACGGUGAGGGACGAAAGCUGGGGGCACGAACCGGAUUAGAUACCCGGGUAGUCCCAGCCGUAAACGAUGCUCGCUAGGUGUCAGGCAUGGCGCGACCGUGUCUGGUGCCGCAGGGAAGCCGUGAAGCGAGCCACCUGGGAAGUACGGCCGCAAGGCUGAAACUUAAAGGAAUUGGCGGGGGAGCAC
RNAcentral lists this ribosomal RNA (796 nucleotides) under uncultured archaeon. Its description in RNAcentral is "bacterial SSU rRNA". It matches the Rfam family "Archaeal small subunit ribosomal RNA", at positions 85 to 879 of the family's 1478-position model. The record is from RNAcentral.